This 2928-nucleotide small RNA is filed under the name Oryza sativa Japonica Group (Japanese rice). RNAcentral's name for it is "sRNA Os11g0625801". The record is from RNAcentral. Lineage: Eukaryota; Viridiplantae; Streptophyta; Magnoliopsida; Poales; Poaceae.
GAUCCUGCUUCUUAUCACUGGCAGCCUGGUUCGUUCGGCUGCCAUCUCCGAACCUUCGAUUGCCAUCCCCGACGACGGCGGCGCCACGACGGUGUUUCCCGGGGCCAGCAUCCGCCUACUCCAUCGAUAGUUGGUUGUAAGUGCCUUCCUUUCCGUCAGAGAGAAUUUAUCUAUAGAAACUCUUGCGGACCGUUGCGCGCUACAGAUUAGUCGUCGUGUCGGCUCAAACGACGGUAAGAACUAACAAGACGCUUAAGAAAGGCGAUCUUUAGGUUCACUACAUUCAAAUAGAGAAAAUAUAAAUAUAAAAAUAUAUAUAAUCAAGAUAAUUACGCCACCGGAAAGGUAAAUAUAUACAUCUAGACCGUUGUUCAUAUGCACCUCAAUCUCCUGGUCGACAUGUGUACAAAUGGCUCCAGUGCAACCGUGUUCCAUCAUGUUACCUUCCCGGUGGAGUUGCUAUAUAUAGGCACAGCAUAUAUUAGGUACCAUCAAAGAUUGAGCAGUACGCACUGCUGCAUUCAACACUCCAAUUGCUAGUGUGGAUGUUGAUGCCACUGCAUAUUAGCCCUUAUUUAGUUUUCAAUGUUUUCCUCAAACUUCCACCUUUCCAUCACGUCGAAACUUUCCUACACACAUAACUUCCAACUUUUUUCUUCAAACUUUCAAUUCUAGUCAAACUUCCAAUUUUGGCAUGGAACCCUAAAUGACACGUUGAAGGAGACAGCUUGCCUUUUGAGUUUUUUUUUCCUAACAGCUUUGACUUUUCAGUUGUUCACCGUUGUGCUGAUUUUCUUCAGCAAACUAGCCUGCCACUACAGUCGAUACUCUAAUUUAUGCUGAUUUUCUAUUCUUUUACACUAACUUUGCACUUAUUUAAUUAUAUAUAUUUUUUAUUUUCAUAUAUAUAGAUAGAUGUAUCCACAUAUCCAUGUUACUUACGGAUUCUGUAAUUAGUUUUUCUAUUAGUGCCUGAACACCCCAUGCAACAUCCUAUAUAAUACCCGAUGUGACAUGCUAAAACAUUACACCCCUCGAUCUAAACACCCCCUGUGUCUGUGUAUAUAUAUAUAAUCUCAUCUUCAAACUCAUUAUAUAUAUAGAUCGAGAAAAAAAAAGACAAAUACCUGAUAAAUUUAUACUCACAAAACUAUCAGAAUUUUUAUGUUAUUUGUUACAAUUAAAAUAUAAUGAAAGUAUUUGUAUAUUUUUUUCUAGAUUUUUGAGUGAAAUUUGUUAGUUGAUGUGCAUGGUAUGUACACGAGAAGUUUUGUGUGCAUAAGAUAUGUUCCCUUCUAAUAAUAUCCCAACAUAUGAAUUUAUAUGUACAGGAUUGCAUGUGAAAAAUCAAUUUGUGUAGUACACGCGAUAAGAACUUUUCUAGGUGUGACCACCCUUUAGCUAAGUAAUCUUUUCAUUUUUAGAACUUUUCUAAAAUAUAUUUAGAAUUUUAUUUUUAUUUUGGACCUUCUAAAUUCUCUUCGUGAGCACAUCAACAUACUCCAACACAUCUGCACCCUCAUGCCAAGAUCUACCCUAUUAAUUUACGUCUAAACUCACAUCUUGUGCAGAGUAGAGGUUGGACAUGUCAAAGACAAAAACGGUAAUUAGGUGGUAAAAAAUGUAAUUAAGAAUAGUAAAAAUAAAAAUAUUGGAUAAUUGGUUCAAAGUAAAACUAUGAUAAUAAAAUAUAACUUGAAGUGUAAUUUACUCAAAAUAGAACAAUAUGAAGGAAUGAAAACUUAGAUCUGGAGGAGCCGAAGCUAAUCUCGUGCGCGGCUGGAGGCAUGCAUCCGCCAAACGCUCUACUCCCAAUAUACUCCCUUCAUCAAAAAAUGUUUGACGCCGUUGACUUUUUAAAAAAUGUUUGACCGUUCGUCUUAUUCAAAAAAUUUAAGUAAUUAUUAAUUAUUUUCCUAUCAUUUGAUUUAUUGUUAAAUAUACUUUUAUGUAUACAUAUAGUUUUACAUAUUUCACAAAAGUUUUUAAAUAAGACGAAUGGUUAAAUAUGUUUAAAAAAGUCAACGGUGUUAAAUAUUUAGGGACGGAUGGAGUAUAUAUAUGUUGCAAUCGUCCUCCUGGGCCUCAAAUUAAGACAAGAGUAAAUUGGAUAUGAUCAUAGAUAUAUAUGAUCAUAGAUAUAUAUAAAUGCCAGGUAAUACGUACUAGUAGUAUUAUAGUUUCAAAAACAAUACUGUUAAUUAACUAAUCUGACUUGUGGCUACAGAAAAAUCGAAAACUCUACACAAACUCUCUUUUUCUCCGUACUUCGGCAAGCACUCGCGGUUUAUUUUCUUGUGGAAUUUUUUAGUAAAUUCAUUUUAAGUUCUUAUCAUGCAAUUUGCGUGUAUUUUUACCACCAUAGUAAGUUCCUGAUUCUAGCAGUGAAUCAAAUUAAACCAGAUUUUUCGGUUUUCGUGUGCUAUGCAGGUACCAACGACCCUUACAUUGUUACCAGUUGUGCUCCUUCACAUCGUGCUUACCAGUGCAACAGGCCACCAUGUGUCCAUAUCGUUCAUGCGAGCACCGCGGAGCAACGUUUGCCUUAAUUAUGUACUUCCUCAGUUUUAUAAUAUAAAAUAGUUUAGGUUUUGAAUAAAUUAAUGCAUGAAUUCAUGUAUGUGUUUUAAUGACAUAUACAAAUUCAUAUAAAUGUUAGUGAAUCUAGACAGGUAAGGUAAGAGAGAAGUUUAAAUGACUUAUAGUGUGUAACAAGCGUGUUGGGAGUACGUAUAGGUCCCGGUAUAUGCGAAUUUCUGUACCUUUUUAUCUUAUGUAUUUAUAUGGUCCUAUUAAGAAGUGUCUUUUGUUCGUAUGCGUCGCAGUAGUUGGCCCAUUGUAAUCGGCUAGAUGGAUCCUGUAAAUUGUUAAUGAUGUACAGUGUAUAUAUGAAGAAAAUAAGAUUAAUUUCAACUGAGGCUGUUUCUU